Molecule: ribosomal RNA, 302 nt
Filed under: Salmonella enterica subsp. enterica serovar Anatum
Lineage: Bacteria; Pseudomonadati; Pseudomonadota; Gammaproteobacteria; Enterobacterales; Enterobacteriaceae
Description: partial 16S ribosomal RNA
Rfam family: Bacterial small subunit ribosomal RNA
Source: RNAcentral
AAAUUGAAGAGUUUGAUCAUGGCUCAGAUUGAACGCUGGCGGCAGGCCUAACACAUGCAAGUCGAACGGUAACAGGAAGCAGCUUGCUGCUUCGCUGACGAGUGGCGGACGGGUGAGUAAUGUCUGGGAAACUGCCUGAUGGAGGGGGAUAACUACUGGAAACGGUGGCUAAUACCGCAUAACGUCGCAAGACCAAAGAGGGGGACCUUCGGGCCUCUUGCCAUCAGAUGUGCCCAGAUGGGAUUAGCUAGUUGGUGAGGUAACGGCUCACCAAGUCGACGAUCCCUAGCUGGUCUGAGAGG